RNAcentral lists this long non-coding RNA (3697 nucleotides) under Pelobates cultripes (western spadefoot toad). The record is from RNAcentral. Lineage: Eukaryota; Metazoa; Chordata; Amphibia; Anura; Pelobatidae.
AGGAAUAGAGACCGGGUUAAGUGUAGGAAUAGAGACCGGGUUAAGGGUAGGAAUAGUGGAAUGGUUAGGGGUAGGAAUAGAGACCGGGUUAAGGGUAGGAAUAGUGGAAUGGUUAAGGGUAGGAAUAGAGACAGGGUUAAGUGUAGGAAUAGAGACAGGGUUAAGGGUAGGAAUAGUGGAAUGGUUAAGGGUAGGAAUAGAGACCGGGUUAAGGAUAGGAAUAGUGGAAUGGUUAAGGGUAGGAAUAGAGACAGGGUUAAGUGUAGGAAUAAAGACAGGGUUAAGGGUAGGAAUAGUGGAAUGGUUAGGGGUAGGAAUAGAGCUAUGGGUUACUUUUUUCUGUGACAUCUUCCUGUGACUAUUUUUGCUGGAUUUGUUAACUAUCCUCUGGCAUGUAGUUUAAUUCUCUCUCACAGAAAUAGAUGAUAGAACACACAAUACUUUCUGACUGUAGACUAAAUGCAAAGGAAAAUAAAAAAGGCACAAACUGUUCUCUGAAUUACAUUUCACCCUCUCCAUUAAUGUGUUAAUCACUAAAAGCAGCAAGAAAAUAAUUGAACCAAUUUCUAUACACUGUACAAAAUUCUUAGAACUAUCUGUACAUUGUUCUACUACAGUUAGGCAACAUGUACAUUUCAAUAAAGUACAUAGUAAAAUAUGGGUCUGUAACAAAAGGUAGCAAACAGCAUUUAACCGUCUGAGUGCCACAGGUAUGUACAAUGCUUUGCAAUCCACAGGCACUCAAAGUGUUAACAGUACAUUGUGUUCGUGACCUAAUGGAGAAAGUAACACCAUGGGAAUUCUCAAACACAGCAGAUUAGAAUUAAUGGCAAAUCGAAUUGAAAGAUUUAGGAAACGGCAAAUGAUUUGGAAAGAUUCUCAAACUAUAACCAAAGUGUGACUAAUUCAGGCUUAAUUUCCAAAUUUAGUUGUUUUCAGUCCACUGUUGACUGUUUAGCAUAGGCUAGAAUGCCACAUCUAAGCCCCUGUGUGAGUACAUUGUACCUUUAUACAUCUUUACUAUGCAUUUACCUGUUUUACUAGGUUUUUAAACAAUUAGUGCACACAUAUGAGAUUAUUCGUUAGCAGAGGUUAUUUACCAAACCAGACCAAAAAAAAAGCCAAACUGAAAAAUGAACUAAUUUGAGAUUUUUUUUUUUUAAAUGUCCUAUUUCGGCGAAUUAUCUACUAUUCCAAAUUUAGUCAAUAAAUUCCCCAACCAAACUUAUUGUGAAAAUUCACAAAUUAUAGAACUAAAUAUCCAUCUGCUGCUCACUUUUUAGUAAAUAAACUCCCUCAGUUUAUUUAAAAUACAUAAACAUAUUUUCAUUGUGUUAACAAAGGCAAUAUCUAUUUUAUUCUCUCUGCUGUGGAGUGCCAGGAAAAAUAAUAUUUUGAUCCUUGUCGUGUCCAGGAAAUAAUAUGUCUUUCUGGAAGAAAUGCCAAGUAGUCAAAUGGUCUUUCAAACUCUUUUUGAUGACAUUGGCACAUGAUUAGCUGGCCUGCGCAUGGCCUGGCAGUGCACAGUUAGGUUCAGUGCUUGCCCAGACAUAGUACAGUAUAGACUUGUGCAUUCAUUUUGAUUACAUUUUCUCACUUGAUCUGUGAAUGGUGGGGAAAUUUGCCCACCAUUGUACUGCGAAAUAUAUAUUAUGUAUCCAUUUUUCAGGACGCUGGUUCAGAGAAGGGUUAAAAUCCCACAGGGCCCUAGACAGGCUUGCAGUUUGAGGCCCCCUUUCAUUCUUCAAACAUGGCUUGUUAAUGGUGCCAAUAAAAAUGUUUCCAGGACCCCUGUGUAACUCAAGGGAGCUAGGUCUAAAGUACUGCUCAUCACUGAUUGGACCAUUUUUAUGCUAUUUUAGGUUUGCCAUAACGUUUUCAUUAAUUUUCAAUUAUCAUUAUUUGGAUGAGCUGAACUGUUAAAUGAAGGAAAAUAUGAAAACCCAAAUUAAAUUUCAUUAUUGGAAAUUCUUUUGGCCAAACCAAAUAUUUUCAUAUUGCACAAGUCUAGUACAGAAUCAAUCAUUGGGCACUCAUUGACUUCCAAGAGUUUUAGAUAUUGAUAACUGAUUUAAAUACUAUUGGACUGUCAAUAUGUUUCUAUUUAUAUAAUUGGUUUAUAUGUAGUGCAGUUAUAUGUUUAUUGAACAGUUGCAUUGAGGUCUGCAAUGGAUCUAUAUCACUGGAACCAAUCACAGUCUUGUAUAAUUGCACUUUGAGAUACACCAAUACAUGCAGAGAACCUGAUUACAAAACAGCCAAGCAAUUCAUUUCUUUCUGUUUGUUAUAAAGUUCACUAUCUUAAAAAGAUGUUUUUGAAGUGACAAUUCACAGUGCAGUAUAGAAAAAAAACGUUGCUUUUAUAGCUCGUCUUGAAAGCAGUGAGAGGGCUUAAAGGGAAUUUAUAGUCCUGAAAAUAAUAAUAGUUUUUUAGGAAGGUUCCUUUCUGUGCACCCCUCCUUGUCCAUCCAUCUUAAAGUUUAAAGGAGAUUACUUACCUCACUUCCAGUGCCGAUUUCUCUGCUGCAGCCGGCCACCCAGCCUUCAAGGACAUGAUCCUGCCCGUAAAAAUCUUCCGAGUUCUUCUCCAACGCAAUGCUUCUCAAGAAGGAGGUAUGGAUUGGGAUAAGGCGUGCGCAACCAAACACUGCUUUUCUCCAAUAAAAUGUUGCCAUCCGACGCAUUUUAUUCCAGGGCCGGGUUUCACUUGCUUCUGGAGAAGGAAGUUCCUGUCUUCCCGACUGCUGCUAGAGGUGUAUUUAACCCUUCCAUGUAAACAUUAUGUUUCUACAAAACUGCCAUGUUUUACAUUGAAAGGUUAAAAUGACAGAACCAGCGAUGACGUGGUCUGGGUGCCAUUAGUGUUCCUUUAAAGGGAUACUAUAGUGUUAGGAAUACCAAGUUGUAUACCUAACACUAAAGUUCCCUCUAGUCCUUCCCCCUCAUGCCCCCGGCUUGACUUUAUUUGCUCACUUGAUUCCAGCACCGAUGUCCCUCAGCGCGAUGUCCCUAUGACAUUAUACGACAGAGGGACCUAAUGCGAGCACUGCGAGAGCAUUGUGCCCUCUACAUAAGAAAGUAUUGCUUCAAUGCUUUCCUGUAGGGAUUAUACUGAUACUGUAUUUCCUCAUGCACAGCAUGAAGACGACCUGCAUCAUUUAGGCGACCUAGAGUUCAUUAAGAUGCCAGAAGCGCCUCUAGAGUACUGCAAUGGAAACCUUGCUGUUUCUUGAAAACUGCAACAUUUUACAGUGCAGGAUUAAGGGGGACAGGGACACUGCCCCUUGUCCACUUCAAUGAGCUGAAGUAGUCUGGGUGCCUAUAGUGUCCCUUUAAGCCACAUUAAAAUCAUCUCUCUUUAAUGGCAGCAGUAAGGCAAAGGUGAACAAAUUGUGGGUCUCUAGUUGUAAUAAAAUUACAUUCCCAUGAUGCUUUGCAUCUUAAAUAAUAUUGUGACCUAAAUGUUGCACAUUCCCCACUGCUCAUGGCUUAUUGUAUAAACCCAAGUCAUUUAAAUCAUAAUGUGCUCAUAUAUUCAAGUAUGUGAAUAUUUUUUUUAGAGUUAAAUGGACUUGUGCAUUCAUCAGACAGCCAAUUAUGAUAUUUAUAAAUCUUUUAGAAAACAACUAUUUUACAAAGCAUUUACUUUUGCCGAUGAAUUUUAAUAUGAAAUUAUAUUCCAAAAUUAUUUUUAAAU